CACUCAGUCGCCUUUAGCGCCGUGCAUCCUCGAGCCAGUCAGUCAGUCACUCAGUCAGUCAGUCAGUCAGUCAUUGAGUCAGUCAGUCGGGCGAGACUACGCGCGCGAAGGAGUACCGUCUCUCGUUCCAAUAGCGAUCGAGAGUCGAUCGAGUGAGGCGCGAAACGACCAAAGAACAGUGCAGUGAACGAAGCGAGAUCGAUACGG
Long non-coding RNA from Ceratina calcarata, 207 nucleotides. RefSeq lists it as uncharacterized. Lineage: Eukaryota; Metazoa; Arthropoda; Insecta; Hymenoptera; Apidae. The transcript is spliced from 2 exons. The record is from RefSeq and is a predicted model, not a curated record.